This 449-nucleotide ribosomal RNA is filed under the name uncultured bacterium. RNAcentral's name for it is "SSU rRNA". It matches the Rfam family "Bacterial small subunit ribosomal RNA", at positions 26 to 518 of the family's 1533-position model. The record is from RNAcentral.
AGAACGAACGCUGGCGGCAGGCCUCAAACAUGCAAGUCUAGGGGGCGUAGCAAUACGUCACCGGCGGACGGGUGCGUAACACGUGGGAAUGUACUUACUGGUUCGGAACAACUCAGGGAAACUUGAGCUAAUACCGAAUGUGCCCGAAAGGGGAAAGAUUUAUCGCCAGUAAAUCAGCCCGCGUCCGAUUAGCUAGUUGGUGGGGUAAAGGCCCACCAAGGCGACGAUCGGUAGCUGUUCUGAGAGGAAGAUCAGCCACACUGGGACUGAGACACGGCCCCAGACUCCUACGGGAGGCAGCAGUUGGGAAUCUUGGACAAUGGGGGAAACCCUGAUCCAGCCAUGCCGCGUGAGUGAUGAAGGCCUUCGGGUUGUAAAACUCUUUCGACGGGGACGAUAAUGACGGUACCCGUAGAAGAAGCUCCGGCUAACUUCGUGCCAGCAGCCGC